Molecule: transfer RNA, 79 nt
Filed under: Dehalococcoidales bacterium
Lineage: Bacteria; Bacillati; Chloroflexota; Dehalococcoidia; Dehalococcoidales
Description: tRNA-Pro
Rfam family: tRNA
About the family: Transfer RNA (tRNA) molecules are approximately 80 nucleotides in length. Their secondary structure includes four short double-helical elements and three loops (D, anti-codon, and T loops).
Source: RNAcentral
CGGGGUGUGGCGCAGUCCGGUUUAGCGCGCAGCGUUUGGGACGCUGAGGUCGGAGGUUCAAAUCCUCUCACCCCGACCA